RNAcentral lists this long non-coding RNA (742 nucleotides) under Homo sapiens (human). RNAcentral describes it as "HSALNT0331902". The record is from RNAcentral. Lineage: Eukaryota; Metazoa; Chordata; Mammalia; Primates; Hominidae.
AUCAUCCCUGCCCAUUAGAGUGAACAAUAUUAGCAAAGGCACUGAGAAGGAAUAAUCUUGGCCUGUUUAUCGAACGGCACUGUUCCAGGCAGGGAGAUCUAGCAGGAUGUAAAGGGCGGGGCCCUGCUCUCAUGGAGCUCACGGUCUCGUGCAGGAAGAUGGCUAAUAAGUAAAUGAGACAUGAUCAAGGCAGUAAAAUGAUCAAUCUUCAAGAGGGUGACGCCACAGACAUCCCCUUCCAUCCGCUUCUGUGCCGAUCAGCUGUGGCAUGAGGGCUACAGCCCCGACGCAGGUGUAAACAUCCGUGUGGCUCUGACACUCCUACACGAGAAUGCUUCUUGGAUUUGCCGUAAAACAGACUAAAAGAACGACAGCUCAGAGAGUUUAAGCAACUUAUCUAAAGUCACACGACUGGUGGAACCAAGCACAGGCCCAAGCUGGCAGUCUGGUCUCAUAACCCUGGUGUGUCCACAGUUGGCUCCUUCCGGUGGGUUCUCACUCUGGCUGACUUCAAGAAUUAAGCCGGGGAUCUUCUCGUGAGGAGCCCUCCAGACCUGCUCCAUAGCGACGGCAGGACCUGCCUCCCAGCAGAGCAGAGAUGAGCUAGUCAGGAGCAGGAGAAAUGAUCUUCAGACUCUGGGGCCCAGCAUUCCCCAGGUUUCCUGCAGGUCUCAAAAUCUAUCUUGAACAAACUUGCUUACAUCAUUUAUUUUUAAAUAAAAAAGAACCACUAUUGGGAGAA